CCGCCCGCUGGCGGCGUGCUUCACACAUGCAAUUCGAACGGAAAGGCUCCUGCUUGCAGGGGUACUCGAGUGGCGAACGGGUGAGUAACACGUGGGUGAUCUGCCCUGCACUUCGGGAUAAGCCUGGGAAACUGGGUCUAAUACCGGAUAGGACGAUGGUUUGGAUGCCAUUGUGGAAAGUUUUUCGGUGUGGGAUGAGCUCGCGGCCUAUCAGCUUGUUGGUGGGGUAAUGGCCUACCAAGGCGUCGACGGGUAGCCGGCCUGAGAGGGUGUACGGCCACAUUGGGACUGAGAUACGGCCCAGACUCCUACGGGAGGCAGCAGUGGGGAAUAUUGCACAAUGGGCGCAAGCCUGAUGCAGCGACGCCGCGUGGGGGAUGACGGCCUUCGGGUUGUAAACUCCUUUCGCUAGGGACGAAGCGCAAGUGACGGUACCUGGAGAAGAAGCACCGGCUAACUACGUG
This 464-nucleotide ribosomal RNA is filed under the name uncultured bacterium. RNAcentral describes it as "partial 16S ribosomal RNA". It matches the Rfam family "Bacterial small subunit ribosomal RNA", at positions 34 to 507 of the family's 1533-position model. The record is from RNAcentral.